This 380-nucleotide ribosomal RNA is filed under the name uncultured bacterium. RNAcentral describes it as "bacterial SSU rRNA". It matches the Rfam family "Bacterial small subunit ribosomal RNA", at positions 28 to 409 of the family's 1533-position model. The record is from RNAcentral.
GACGAACGCUGGCGGCGUGCUUAACACAUGCAAGUCGAGCGGUAAGGCCCUUUCGGGGGUACGACGAGCGGCGAACGGGUGAGUAACACGUGGGUGACCUGCCCUCAGCUCUGGGAUAAGCCUGGGAAACUGGGUCUAAUACUGGAUAUGACUCCACGGUGCAUGUCGUGGGGUGGAAAGCCUUGUGCGGCUGAGGAUGGGCCCGCGGCCUAUCAGCUUGUUGGUGGGGUGAGGCCUACCAAGGCGACGACGGGUAGCCGGCCUGAGAGGGCGACCGGCCACACUGGGACUGAGACACGGCCCAGACUCCUACGGGAGGCAGCAGCGGGGAAUCUUGCGCAAUGGGCGAAAGCCUGACGCAGCGACGCCGCGUGAGGGAU